Molecule: RNA transcript, 2709 nt
Organism: Mustela lutreola (European mink)
Lineage: Eukaryota; Metazoa; Chordata; Mammalia; Carnivora; Mustelidae
Gene: ABCG5
Gene name: ATP binding cassette subfamily G member 5
Exons: 15
Source: RefSeq, a predicted model, not a curated record
UCCCGCUGUUGGAAAGGUCUGGGGAGGGAUACCAGAGCACGGUGAGGAGCAGGCGGGGCAGUGUGUUCCUGGCUCCUUUACUGAGGCUUCUCCGGGGAGAGUCAGGCCACCCCAAAAUUUACCUGUUUCUGAUGUUUCUUGGCCAUGAAUGAAUUUCCAUCUUUGACCCCUAUGGGGUCCUUGGGGACCCAAGUAAACAGAGACCCCCAGAACUCCCCAGAGGAGGUUCCCAUAGUUGCUUCAAAGCCUCGACACAGCCUGGGCAUUCUCCAUGUCUCCUACCAUGUCAGCCACCAAGCUGGGCCCUGGUGGGACUUCACAUCUUGCCGGCAGCGGUGGGACAGGCAGAUCCUCAAAGAUGUCUCCUUGUACGUCGAGAGUGGGCAGAUCCUGUGCAUCUUAGGGAGCUCAGGCUCAGGGAAAACCACGCUGCUGGAUGCCAUGUCCGGGAGGCUGCGGCGCACAGGGACCUUCCUUGGGGACGUGUUUGUUAACGGCCAGCCAUUGCGCAGGGAGCAGUUCCAGGACUGCUUCUCCUAUGUCCAGCAGAGUGACACACUGCUGAGCAACCUGACCGUGCGGGAGACUCUACGCUAUGCGGCACUGCUGGCUGUGCGCCAGGGCUCCCCGGGGUUUUUCCAGAGAAAGGUGGACGCAGUUAUGGUGGAAUUGAGUCUGAGCCAUGUGGCAGAUCGACUGAUUGGCACCUGCAAUCUUGGGGGAAUUUCCAAUGGCGAGCGGCGCCGGGUCUCCAUUGCAGCCCAGCUCCUCCAGGAUCCCAAGUUCAUGCUGUUUGAUGAGCCUACCACAGGCCUGGACUGCAUGACAGCAAAUCAAAUCAUCCUCCUCCUGGCAGAGCUGGCUCACAGGGACCGCAUUGUGAUUGUCACCAUCCAUCAGCCACGCUCUGAGCUCUUCCAGCUCUUUGAUAAAAUCGCCAUUCUGAGCUACGGAGAGCUGGUUUUCUGUGGGACACCAGCAGAAAUGCUUGAUUUCUUCAGUGGUUGCAGUUACCCUUGUCCCGAACAUUCAAACCCUUUUGACUUUUAUAUGGACCUGACAUCAGUGGAUACCCAAAGCAAAGAACGGGAAAUAGAAACCUACAAGAGAGUUCAAAUGAUUGAAUCUGUCUACAAAGAAUCAGCAAUUUAUCGCAAAACCUUGGAAAAUAUUGAAAGAACAAAACACCUGAAAACAUUACCAAUGGUUCCUUUCAAAACCAAAGAUUCUCCUGGAGCUCUCUCUAAACUGGAUGUUCUCUUGAGGAGAGUGACAAGGAACUUAAUGAGAAAUAAGCUGGCGGUGAUGAUGCGUCUUGUUCAGAAUCUGAUCAUGGGUUUGUUCCUCAUCUUCUACCUUCUGCGGGUGCCAAGCGAUGUGCUGAAGGGCGCUGUCCAGGACCGCGUGGGGCUCCUGUACCAGUUAGUGGGUGCCACCCCAUACACAGGCAUGCUGAACGCUGUCAAUCUGUUUCCUGUGCUGCGAACUGUCAGCGACCAGGAGAGCCAAGAUGGCUUGUACCAGAAGUGGCAGAUGCUGCUGGCUUAUGUGCUGCAUGCGCUCCCCUUCAGUGUCCUUGCCACCAUGAUAUUCAGCAGUGUAUGCUACUGGACUCUGGGCUUAUAUCCCGAGGUUGCCAGAUUUGGAUAUUUCUCUGCUGCUCUCUUGGCCCCCCACUUAAUUGGUGAAUUUCUAACUCUUGUGCUACUUGGUAUGGUCCAAAACCCAAAUGUGGUCAACAGCAUAGUGGCUCUGCUCUGCAUUGCUGGGAUACUUGUGGGCUCUGGAUUAGUAAGAAACACAGAAGAAAUGUCCAUUCCUUUAAAAAUCUUCAGUUAUUUUACAUUCCAAAAAUACUGCUCUGAGAUUCUUAUAGUCAAUGAGUUCUAUGGACAGAAUUUCACUUGUGGCAGCUCAAAUGGUUCUGUGACAACUAAUCCAAUGUGUGUCUUCACUCAAGGAAUUACAUUUAUUGAGAGAAUCUGUCCGGGUGCAACAUCCAGAUUCACAACAAACUUUCUGGCUCUAGAGCAAACCGAGAGAACAGGGCUGGUCACACAGGUCAUAUCACAAAGAAUGACUGGUGUGAUAAAGAACUCACGAUGACCACUAGACCUUCAAUACGCCUGUCAUGGGAAGUCAAAAUAAUAUGAUUUAAUUCUCUAAAGGAAGAGUAGGGUCCCUGAAGGUGAAAAAUUAGUGCUGAGAAAAAUACCCUAGUCACUGCUCCUGUGGAUGGCUGUGUUCAGGUUACCCUUACAACAAUGUGACGGCCCAAGUGCCAGAGCUCUACAAAUCCCACCGGAGGGGCUGUCAGGGCAUUCAGUUUAUAAUGCUUGCUGAUAUAAAAUUUGGGUUCUGCACAGUGUCUCAUUUCAAAGAUCUGAGAAAAUUUUAAGUUUCAGGUUAUGAUGAAUUUACCAGCUCUUGCAUUCUUAUAUCAGACUUUUGUAUCACAAAUGGCACUAGCUGGGCAUCUGUGGAACACAGUCCAUUUUUAACCACUUUCCUAAGAGAUCCUGUGUUUGCAUCCUUUCAUACUGGGUAGUCCUGUAUUUUUCUGGUACAAGAAAAGUUUAUCUGAAUUUUCUAAAUAAAUCCACAAACAAAAGAAUAUUGUGACAUUCUCUCCCUAGCAAGGUAAGAAUCACUAUCCAUCUUCAACAUAAACUGGAAAACCCAAAAAGGAUACGUGAACAUUAUGUCAUC